RNAcentral lists this transfer RNA (75 nucleotides) under Candidatus Dojkabacteria bacterium. RNAcentral describes it as "tRNA-Met". It matches the Rfam family "tRNA". From Rfam's summary of the family: Transfer RNA (tRNA) molecules are approximately 80 nucleotides in length. The record is from RNAcentral.
UGGGGGGUGGAGCAGAGGCAGCUCGCCAGGCUCAUAACCUGGAGGCCGUACGUUCGAAUCGUACCCCCCCAACCA